Long non-coding RNA from Zophobas morio, 347 nucleotides. RefSeq lists it as uncharacterized. The record is from RefSeq and is a predicted model, not a curated record. NCBI's taxonomy places the organism in Eukaryota, Metazoa, Arthropoda, Insecta, Coleoptera, Tenebrionidae. The transcript is spliced from 3 exons.
GCAUACAAUACACCGACUUGCUUCUUAAUAAAUUAUAUUAUAUGGGAAUAAUAAUUUUAAAGGACAAUCUUCAAUGUUGCGAAAAAGUUUCAGUAAGCGCUUUUUGUCGCCGUCGCUUGCCUGUUGUUAUGGUGAAACUUAGGAUGGCUCAAUCUGUCAGGCAAGCCGUCCAGCUAGUUGAGCAAGCACACGUCCGGGUUGGGCCAGACACCAUUACUGAUCCUGCUUUUUUAGUGACGAGGAACUUGGAAGAUUUUGUUACGUGGGUGGACACAUCGAAGAUCAAAAGACAUAUCAUGAAGUAUAACGACAAGCUGGAUGACUACGACUUGUUAUAAUAAAAUUAU